Long non-coding RNA from Bombyx mori (domestic silkworm), 1040 nucleotides. RefSeq lists it as uncharacterized. The record is from RefSeq and is a predicted model, not a curated record. Lineage: Eukaryota; Metazoa; Arthropoda; Insecta; Lepidoptera; Bombycidae. The transcript has 2 exons.
GAACGAGAGAGUUCGACGGUACUGACGCGACGUAGAAGCGCUCCGCAACUUUUACAAUUAAAUACAAUUUUAUUACAAAUAAUUCAGUCUCAUGAAGACUUAAAUUGAACGAAUCACCAAAUUAAACAUUACAAUUUGAGGACAGUACAAUACAAACAAUCCCAAACAAAGUUACAUUAAUGUGCCGGAGCAUCCCUAUACUCGUAUCCACAAAAAUUCAUUAACAAACUUCGGAACUUCAAUGGGGGAUCCUAUCGUCAGUAGCGUCCCUUGCACAGAUUCCGGGCGAUAUUAAAACAAAACGCAGAUAUUAGGCGCGUAAUGGCGAACCCGACGCGGCGACGACUCCUACAAUUGAUUCCAGAGAGCCUCGCGCCCACUAAAACAGCACUUAACAGGUACAGUACAGUAAUGACGUCGGCGAGAGGGUGUGAAUCUCGGCGGCUCACUCCGAUCCUGGGAUUUUCCCGGCAAUUAUACACAAUAGGCGGCGGACAAACGGCUCGGCCGCGUCUAUUGUUGCGGGAUAAAGGCCGCAGAUAUCGACCGAUUGAUUGCUUCUAGAGCGUUCGAUACUCUAAUCGAAAUUUAAGGACAUUAUGAAGAUCAAAUUUGGAUCACGGUUUGUCAAACGUGGAGAGUAAGGAAAAUACUGGGGACUUGUAGGUAUGUAACAUACUAGGUAUAUAUAUCUUCCAAGAACAUAAAUGAAUUAAUUGAAAGCGGCAAUUAUAUUGGAUCCUCCGUUCGUUCGCUUAAAGUGCGCGAUCAGGGAUCCAACAACACAUUGCCACGGUCUACAGUGGGAACAGCGUCAACUAAAGUUUACAGUUUUACGUGUUCUUAAACAAACGAGCAACUCACAUGAAGCUUCAUGAGAAACACUGGUUUUGGCGACCGUGGACAACAACACAUGCUGCUACAACUUCGACCUACGCAAGUCAAUUUAAAACCUCUGAACACGCAGCGGAAGUAACAGCGAAGAUUUUGUUUCGCGGACCAUUUAAUUUAUCAUAAAUAUUUGUAAUUACAUAGGUAUA